AAUUAGCCGCGAUUGAAAUGGAAAUCCCUUUAUUUUUUAUUUAAAAAAUAAAAGAUUGGAAUGGAAAGCGGGAGGACUU
This 79-nucleotide small RNA is filed under the name Halpernia frigidisoli. Its description in RNAcentral is "Flavo-1 RNA". It matches the Rfam family "Flavo-1 RNA". The record is from Rfam by way of RNAcentral. Lineage: Bacteria; Pseudomonadati; Bacteroidota; Flavobacteriia; Flavobacteriales; Weeksellaceae.